This is a long non-coding RNA of Zea mays, 488 nucleotides long. RefSeq lists it as uncharacterized. The record is from RefSeq and is a predicted model, not a curated record. The transcript is spliced from 2 exons. Lineage: Eukaryota; Viridiplantae; Streptophyta; Magnoliopsida; Poales; Poaceae.
CUCUGUUUUCUUUUUGUCUUUUGUCCCUUGCUGCAGACUUGAUCCAUAUUUUCUCCUCUGUUCCAAGGCACCUCAACUUUAUUGAUCACACCAGUGACAUUGGAUGGAAAGAGUCUCAGAGAGUGCAGCCGAUUAUAGUAGAUGCUGGAGUAUAUUUGGCAGGGAGGAAUCAGUUCUUCCAAGCCACAGAGAAACGAGACACUCCUGAUAGUUUCAAAUUUUUCACAGGCAUUUCUCUUUACUUGCAGUUUGUUUUCCACCUGCUUGAUGAAAUGGUUUUCUAACACAGAUUCCCUUCCUGUCAGGUUCUCCAUGGGUCAUUUUAAACAGACGCUUUGUUGAGUAUUGUAUUUUUGGUUGGGAGAAUCUCCCUAGAACACUCCUCAUGUACUUCACAAACGUGAUGCUACCUCUAGAGGGGUAUUUCCAUUCAGUUGCAUGCAACUCGGACUUCCGAAAUUUCACAGUGAACAACGACUUGCGGUAUA